Molecule: ribosomal RNA, 235 nt
Filed under: uncultured bacterium
Lineage: Bacteria
Description: partial 16S ribosomal RNA
Rfam family: Bacterial small subunit ribosomal RNA
Source: RNAcentral
CGGACGGGUGAGUAACGCGUGGGUAACCUGCCUUGUACUGGGGGACAACAGUUAGAAAUGACUGCUAAUACCGCAUAAGCGCACAGUAUCGCAUGAUACCGUGUGAAAAACUCCGGUGGUACAAGAUGGACCCGCGUCUGAUUAGCUAGUUGGUAAGGUAACGGCUUACCAAGGCGACGAUCAGUAGCCGACCUGAGAGGGUGACCGGCCACAUUGGGACUGAGACACGGCCCAG